UGGCUCAGUUGGUAGAGCAUGGUGUUUGCAACAACCAGGGUUGUGGGUUCGAUUCCCAU
Molecule: non-coding RNA, 59 nt
Organism: Salmo salar (Atlantic salmon)
Lineage: Eukaryota; Metazoa; Chordata; Actinopteri; Salmoniformes; Salmonidae
Source: Rfam